GCGGCCGUGGCCAAAUGGAUUAAGGCAUCUGGCUUCGGACCAGACGAGUGGGGGUUCGAAUCCCUCCGGCCGCGCCA
RNAcentral lists this transfer RNA (77 nucleotides) under Armatimonadia bacterium. RNAcentral's name for it is "tRNA-Arg". It matches the Rfam family "tRNA". From Rfam's summary of the family: Transfer RNA (tRNA) molecules are approximately 80 nucleotides in length. Their secondary structure includes four short double-helical elements and three loops (D, anti-codon, and T loops). The record is from RNAcentral. Lineage: Bacteria; Bacillati; Armatimonadota; Armatimonadia.